AACCCAUUAACAAUUAUGGAAAAUACACUGUUUCUAUAACAAGUUUGAUCAAUGAGUGUAACAUAGUUUAGGAGAACCACAGACCAAGCUGGAGUACGAUAGGGGCAGAGAGAAUUUUCGGUGGAGCGGUGAAAUGCAUAGAAAUCGGAAAGAACACCAACGGCGAAAGUACUCUACUGGGCCAACACUGACACUGAGAGACGAAAGCUAGGGGAGCGAAUGGGAUUAGAUACCCCAGUAGUCCUAGCCGUAAAUGAUGGAUACUAGGCGUUGUGCGUAUCGACCCGUGUAAUGCUGUAGCUAACAUGUUAAGUAUCCCGCUUGGGGAGUACGUUCGCAAGAAUGAAACUUGAAGGAAUUGACGGGGGCCCGCACAAGCGGUAGAGCAUGUGGUUUAAUUCUAUGCAAAGCAAAGAACCUUACCAGGGCUUGACAUGCCUCGAAUCAUCUUGAAAGAGAGGGGUGCUUUCAGGAACGCGGACACAGGUGGUGCAUGGCUGUCGUCAAUUCGUGCCGUAAGGUAUUGGGUUAAGUCCCGCAACGAGCGCAACCCUUGUGUUUAGUUGCCCUCGUUGAGUUUGGAACCCUGAACAGACUGCCGGUGAUAAGUCGGAGGAAGGUGAGGAUGACGUCAAGUCAUCAUACCCUUUAUGCCCUGGACGACACAUGUGCUACAAUAGCCGGGACAAAGGAUCGCGAUCCCGUGAGGGUGAGCUAACCCCAAAAACCCAUUAGUAAUCUUUUUUAGAAAUCGAAUGGAUUCGGUCUUAUACAUACGCGAGGAAGCUAAUCAAAAAAGAAAGAAGAUGACUUCUUCUUUCUUUUAUCACUUAGGAGCCGUGUGAGAUAAAAGUCUCAUGCACGGUUUUGAAUGAGAAAAAGAAGUGAGGAAUCAUCUUUU
Molecule: ribosomal RNA, 901 nt
Filed under: Olea europaea subsp. europaea
Lineage: Eukaryota; Viridiplantae; Streptophyta; Magnoliopsida; Lamiales; Oleaceae
Source: RNAcentral